GCUGGGGCGGCAUAUCUGUUACACAACAACGCAGGUGUCCUAAGGCAAGCUCAGUGGGAACAGAAAUCUCACGUAGAACACAAGCGUCAAGGCUUGCUUGAUUAACGAUUUUCAGUACGAAUCGAGACUGCGAAAGCAAGGCCAGCGAUCCUUUGCGAAAUAUUGCUAUAUGAACAGAUCAUACCAGAGGUGUCAGAAAAAUUACCACAGGGAUAACUGGCUUGUGGCAGCCAAGCG
Molecule: ribosomal RNA, 237 nt
Filed under: Schmidingerella taraikaensis
Lineage: Eukaryota; Ciliophora; Spirotrichea; Tintinnida; Rhabdonellidae
Description: partial Eukaryotic large subunit ribosomal RNA
Rfam family: Eukaryotic large subunit ribosomal RNA
Source: RNAcentral